This 253-nucleotide ribosomal RNA is filed under the name uncultured prokaryote. RNAcentral describes it as "partial 16S ribosomal RNA". It matches the Rfam family "Bacterial small subunit ribosomal RNA", at positions 524 to 776 of the family's 1533-position model. The record is from RNAcentral.
UACGAAGGGGGCUAGCGUUGUUCGGAAUUACUGGGCGUAAAGCGCAUGUAGGCGGCUUGGCAAGUCGGGGGUGAAAUCCUGAGGCUCAACCUCAGAACUGCCUUCGAUACUGCCUGGCUAGAGUAUGGAAGAGGUUGGUGGAACUGCGAGUGUAGAGGUGAAAUUCGUAGAUAUUCGCAAGAACACCAGUGGCGAAGGCGGCCAACUGGUCCAUCACUGACGCUGAGAUGCGAAAGCGUGGGGAGCAAACAGG